GUACUGAUGAAGAGUCCCAAAAUAGGACGAAACAACUGUCCAGUAC
This 46-nucleotide non-coding RNA is filed under the name Trichobilharzia regenti. The record is from RNAcentral. Lineage: Eukaryota; Metazoa; Platyhelminthes; Trematoda; Strigeidida; Schistosomatidae.